AACGAACGCUGGCGGCAUGCCUAACACAUGCAAGUCGAACGAGACCUUCGGGUCUAGUGGCGCACGGGUGCGUAACGCGUGGGAACCUGCCCUUAGGUUCGGAAUAACUCCCCGAAAGGGGUGCUAAUACCGGAUAAUGUCUUCGGACCAAAGAUUUAUCGCCUUUGGAUGGGCCCGCGUUGGAUUAGCUAGUUGGUAGGGUAAAAGCCUACCAAGGCGACGAUCCAUAGCUGGUCUGAGAGGAUGAUCAGCCACACUGGGACUGAGACACGGCCCAGACUCCGACGGGAGGCAGCAGUGGAGAAUAUUGGACAAUGGGCGAAAGCCUGACCCCGCAAUGCCGCGUGAGUGAUGAAGGCCUUAGGGUUGUAAAGCUCUUUUACCCGGGAUGAUAAUGACAGUACCGGGAGAAUAAGCUCCGGCUAACUCCGUG
This 433-nucleotide ribosomal RNA is filed under the name uncultured bacterium. RNAcentral's name for it is "partial 16S ribosomal RNA". It matches the Rfam family "Bacterial small subunit ribosomal RNA", at positions 29 to 507 of the family's 1533-position model. The record is from RNAcentral.